Molecule: long non-coding RNA, 409 nt
Organism: Lemur catta (Ring-tailed lemur)
Lineage: Eukaryota; Metazoa; Chordata; Mammalia; Primates; Lemuridae
Exons: 4
Source: RefSeq, a predicted model, not a curated record
AUGGUAAGUGUGGCAUUUCUGAAGGCUCGGGGCUGUCCUUCUUGACGUGACACUUACGAGCCAUCACGGAAGCGCUGAGAGUCUGAUACGCCGGAACCGGUGUGUUUCCUCUACAGUUCUGCUGAUGCUCUGUGAUCUUGGAAUGCUCAUAGACUUCAUGGAUAGCAGAUAGGGAAUGCUCAUGAAUGACCAGAGACGUACUCACCAGAGGAAAACAAAAAUGCCAGAGUGAGGAGACUCAAGCAAGAUGUGAGACUCAUUGUGGAGAAGGUAUUGCCUAUGAAAUGCAACUUUUGAAUGUUGAGGUACAGAAACAAACAUAAUAAUUCUAUCAAGAGCACAAUUCACAAUUGCAAAGAUGUGGAAACAACCCAAAUGCUCAUCAAUCCACGAAUGGAUUAGUAAACUG